UGGCUCAGAUUGAACGCUGGCGGCAGGCUUAACACAUGCAAGUCGAACGGUAGCAGGAGAAAGCUUGCUUUCUUGCUGACGAGUGGCGGACGGGUGAGUAAUGCUUGGGAAUCUGGCUUAUGGAGGGGGAUAACUACGGGAAACUGUAGCUAAUACCGCGUAGUAUCGUAAGAUGAAAGUGCGGGACCGCAAGGCCGCAUGCCAUGGGAUGAGCCCAAGUGGGAUUAGGUAGUUGGUGGGGUAAAGGCCUACCAAGCCUGCGAUCUCUAGCUGGUCUGAGAGGAUGGCCAGCCACACUGGAGCUGAGACACGGUCCAGACUCCUACGGGAGGCAGCAGUGGGGAAUAUUGCGCAAUGGGGGGGAACCCUGACGCAGCCAUGCCGCGUGAAUGAAGAAGGCCUUCGGGUUGUAAAGUUCUUUCGGUAUUGAGGAAGGUUGUUGUGUUAAUAGCGCAACAAAUUGACGUUAAUCACAGAAGAAGCACCGGCUAACUCCGUGCCAGCAGCCGCGGUAAUACGGAGGGUGCGAGCGUUAAUCGGAAUAACUGGGCGUAAAGGGCACGCAGGCGGCUAUUUAAGUGAGGUGUGAAAUCCCCGGGCUUAACCUGGGAAUUGCAUUUCAGACUGGGUAGCUAGAGUACUUUAGGGAGGGGUAGAAUUUCCACGUGUAGCGGUGAAAUGCGUAGAGAUGUGCAGGAAUACCGAAAGCGAAGGCAGCCCCUUGGGAAUGUACUGACGCUCAUGUGCGAAGCGUGGGGAGCAAACAGGAUUAGAUACCCU
Molecule: ribosomal RNA, 780 nt
Filed under: uncultured bacterium
Lineage: Bacteria
Description: bacterial SSU rRNA
Rfam family: Bacterial small subunit ribosomal RNA
Source: RNAcentral